Long non-coding RNA from Leptidea sinapis, 1035 nucleotides. RefSeq lists it as uncharacterized. Lineage: Eukaryota; Metazoa; Arthropoda; Insecta; Lepidoptera; Pieridae. The transcript is spliced from 3 exons. The record is from RefSeq and is a predicted model, not a curated record.
GACAUCAAACUUGACGUUCGUAUACUUGCGCAGUCACCAGUGUCCUCGCGAGCUCUGCGCUGUCGCCUAGUGUUUUUCCAAAUGGAUAUAACCCUGUGCACGAUACAGUGAGCCGAGUGUCGGCUGAAGUACAAUUUAAUGCGUGGAUUAUAACCUACCAAGCAACGCGACCAGCGAUGAUAUGGAAUCGGCAGUGUAUGAAUAAAAAGGCGGGAAGCCUGUACCAAAGUCGGUGCGAUGUUGUGAUGAACGCGAAUUCGGGGUGAACGACACCUGACUCACCAAGCUGAAGUUACACCGCACUGUGGACAUAACUAGAAAAUAUAGCCACUGUUGGCUACACGAACAUUGGACUCGAGUAUUAACUAAAUGAUCACCUUUCGUAUUAUCCCAAUACACUUCAUUGGUUAUUAUCAAUUCUAGUUGUAGUACAAAAAAUAUUUCAAAUAUUUAACAAGGUUCAUUAAACGUACAGUUGAAACCUCAGAUCACACACAAACUCUCAACCUUCCCAAAUUGUUGCUUGCUAGCCUACGAACAGUUUGCUCUAUAACUCUCUAUAACUUCACGAAAAAUAAUCACCAGUAAUAAAGUAAGGGAAAGUACGUGUUUUUCUUAUUGUGAUCCAGUUUUCAAAAAUGAUUGUUUUUUUUUUCCAUAUUUCAUAAACACGUCAUAAACUUACAAAUCGAAGACACAUUUGUAAAUAUACGACUUCGUACAGCCAAAAUACCUAAUUCUGUCCUGUUUCCCUUUGCAGUAUUAAAUUAAGAUUCUCCGACCAAUAUUACUCACAUAAGUUAGUUAGAAAUGUAUAAUUUAGAGUUAUAACUGGUUUUCUUGUGAGUCACUUUGCUAACAAGUUAAAACAGGCUGGAGGCCAGACAAAUAUGAAUAGACUAAAUGGUAUUUGUAUGAAUGUGAUAGAUAAGCAUUUUUAUUACAAUUUGAAUUUAAAAAUUAUGAUUAAAAUAGCGAUAUAGAGUCGGGAUCAACUGAUAUUCAUUAAUUUUUAACUAGAUUUUGGAUAAUGUA